This 548-nucleotide ribosomal RNA is filed under the name uncultured bacterium. RNAcentral describes it as "bacterial SSU rRNA". It matches the Rfam family "Bacterial small subunit ribosomal RNA", at positions 356 to 896 of the family's 1533-position model. The record is from RNAcentral.
GGGGAAUAUUGCGCAAUGGGGGGAACCCUGACGCAGCCAUGCCGCGUGAAUGAAGAAGGCCUUAGGGUUGUAAAGUUCUUUCGGUAUUGAGGAAGGUUGAUGUGUUAAUAGCACAUCAAAUUGACGUUAAAUACAGAAGAAGCACCGGCUAACUCCGUGCCAGCAGCCGCGGUAAUACGGAGGGUGCGAGCGUUAAUCGGAAUAACUGGGCGUAAAGGGCACGCAGGCGGUUAUUUAAGUGAGGUGUGAAAGCCCCGGGCUUAACCUGGGAAUUGCAUUUCAGACUGGGUAACUAGAGUACUUUAGGGAGGGGUAGAAUUCCACGUGUAGCGGUGAAAUGCGUAGAGAUGUGGAGGAAUACCGAAGGCGAANACAGAGCCCCUUGGGAAUGUACUGACGCUCAUGUGCGAAAGCGUGGGGAGCAAACAGGAUUAGAUACCCUGGUAGUCCACGCUGUAAACGCUGUCGAUUUGGGGGUUGGGGUUUAACUCUGGCGCCCGUAGCUAACGUGAUAAAUCGACCGCCUGGGGAGUACGGCCGCAAGGUUA